This 701-nucleotide long non-coding RNA is filed under the name Coturnix japonica (Japanese quail). Its description in RNAcentral is "lncRNA (ENSCJPG00005008916.1)". Lineage: Eukaryota; Metazoa; Chordata; Aves; Galliformes; Phasianidae. The record is from RNAcentral.
AUUUAAAAACUCUGUCCUUCCUAAUGCUUUUGCUUUUGUAUAAUAAAUUGCAAUUUCAUACUUUUCCCCCUGUGAGUCAAUCACUCUCCAUUCCCCCAGAAAACUUCUUUUAAGUUUAGUCUCCAGCUUCUUCAGAAUUCUCAAGUUUGCCACUACAUCAAAUCUUAGGGAAGAAGAAGGAGAUUAUAAUAUUUUAAGAAUAGAACAUCAUUUUAAGCAUAUGUAAAGCAGAAUCAAAUAAUCCUUAGCUCCCCUUGGAGAAAUAAGUACAAGAGACCAUCAUGCAAAAUAGGCAGUCUCUCUGUACCCCUGCCUCACACCUUUCUUUUUUUCUUCCCCUUUUUUUCUUCUUUUUAGAGGUCUUGUACUUCAAUGUGUCUGGGUAGAUCCCAACAUGCAGCGAUAAUCUGCAUUGAAAGAGAAAAGGAUAAUCCCAAGAAUGAAAGCUGGAAUAUUUUCCCCAGCAGUAACAGUUUCUGUGAACAUGCCUUGUUCUGCUUCUUCCAUGUAGAAUAACAAAGGCAAGCAACUGAAGAAUGACUUCUCCAUCUGAAAUAUCACCUGUGCUUCCAGCAGGUGUUGCCUUGCUCAGGAACAGCUCUUCAGUUAAAGAACAUUUUUCAGGGCAUACCAUAGCUUUCCUACUUGGAGAGGAGGUCUGGUUUGGAGCUCGUGGGAACACAGGAGUGCGUUCCCAGUGA